Molecule: long non-coding RNA, 462 nt
Organism: Monodelphis domestica (gray short-tailed opossum)
Lineage: Eukaryota; Metazoa; Chordata; Mammalia; Didelphimorphia; Didelphidae
Source: RefSeq, a predicted model, not a curated record
CCGCUGUGGCGUGCAGGUGGCGGGGUAGAGGAAGCCACAUGAGAAAAAUUCUCUGGCCUGGUUCUCCCCCCCAGCCUCCAAAACCACUUUCCCAGAAGAAAAGAUCGAGAGGCGGGGCUACAUUCAAAUAUAUCUUCCUUAUGUAAGGUGGAGACCUCUCAGAAGGAAAUAGGGGCAAUCUUAUAAUCUGAAAAAAAAUUCAAGAAAACAAAACAAAAAUGGAACUGUUCCAUGCUAAGUGUCAGAGACCAUAUUUGGGGACAACUCAUGACCAGGAACAAGAUAAGGAUCUUUUGGAAUCUGAACAAACAAGUUACCUCCUGAAAACUGGCGUCGUUAAGACCAACGGCCAUAAACCAUAAUAGUUCUUCACAUCCUCUCCUGGUAUAAACCGUCCUUAAUCACCAACCCCCCCCACCUCAAGCAUAUAUAUUCUUGCCCUGCACCUGCAAUAAAAGAGCC